UACGGAGGGUGCAAACGUUGCUCGGAAUCACUGGGCGUAAAGCGCACGUAGGCGGAUUGUUAAGUCAGGGGUGAAAUCCUGGAGCUCAACUCCAGAACUGCCUUUGAUACUGGCGAUCUCGAGUCCGGGAGAGGUGAGUGGAACUGCGAGUGUAGAGGUGAAAUUCGUAGAUAUUCGCAAGAACACCAGUGGCGAAGGCGGCUCACUGGCCCGGUACUGACGCUGAGGUGCGAAAGCGUGGGGAGCAAACAGG
Molecule: ribosomal RNA, 253 nt
Filed under: uncultured bacterium
Lineage: Bacteria
Description: partial 16S ribosomal RNA
Rfam family: Bacterial small subunit ribosomal RNA
Source: RNAcentral